Molecule: ribosomal RNA, 1202 nt
Filed under: Streptomyces sp.
Lineage: Bacteria; Bacillati; Actinomycetota; Actinomycetes; Kitasatosporales; Streptomycetaceae
Description: bacterial SSU rRNA
Rfam family: Bacterial small subunit ribosomal RNA
Source: RNAcentral
AGCCCUGGAAACGGGGUCUAAUACCGGAUAACACCGGCUUCCGCAUGGGAGCUGGUUGAAAGCUCCGGCGGUGAAGGAUGAGCCCGCGGCCUAUCAGCUUGUUGGUGGGGUAAUGGCCUACCAAGGCGACGACGGGUAGCCGGCCUGAGAGGGCGACCGGCCACACUGGGACUGAGACACGGCCCAGACUCCUACGGGAGGCAGCAGUGGGGAAUAUUGCACAAUGGGCGAAAGCCUGAUGCAGCGACGCCGCGUGAGGGAUGACGGCCUUCGGGUUGUAAACCUCUUUCAGCAGGGAAGAAGCGAAAGUGACGGUACCUGCAGAAGAAGCGCCGGCUAACUACGUGCCAGCAGCCGCGGUAAUACGUAGGGCGCAAGCGUUGUCCGGAAUUAUUGGGCGUAAAGAGCUCGUAGGCGGCUUGUCACGUCGGGUGUGAAAGCCCGGGGCUUAACCCCGGGUCUGCAUCCCGGAUACGGGCAGGACUAGAGUGUGGUAGGGGAGAUCGGAAUUCCUGGUGUAGCGGUGAAAUGCGCAGAUAUCAGGAGGAACACCGGUGGCGAAGGCGGAUCUCUGGGUCCAUUACUGACGCUGAGGAGCGAAAGCGUGGGGAGCGAACAGGAUUAGAUACCCUGGUAGUCCACGCCGUAAACGUUGGGAACUAGGUGUUGGCGACAUUCCACGUCGUCGGUGCCGCAGCUAACGCAUUAAGUUCCCCGCCUGGGGAGUACGGCCGCAAGGCUAAAACUCAAAGGAAUUGACCGGGGCCCGCACAAGCAGCGGAGCAUGUGGCUUAAUUCGACGCAACGCGAAGAACCUUACCAAGGCUUGACAUAUACCGGAAAGCAUUAGAGAUAGUGCCCCCCUUGUGGUCGGUAUACAGGUGGUGCAUGGCUGUCGUCAGCUCGUGUCGUAGAGAUGUUGGGUUAAGUCCCGCAACGAGCGCAACCCUUGUCCUGUGUUGCCAGCAUGCCCUUCGGGGUGAUGGGGACUCACAGGAGACCGCCGGGGUCAACUCGGAGGAAGGUGGGGACGACGUCAAGUCAUCAUGCCCCUUAUGUCUUGGGCUGCACACGUGCUACAAUGGCCGGUACAAAGAGCUGCGAUGCCGCGAGGCGGAGCGAAUCUCAAAAAGCCGGUUUCAGUUCGGAUUGGGGUUCGCAACUCGCCGCCAUGAAGUCCGAGGUAGCAGUAAUGGCAGAUC